RNAcentral lists this unclassified non-coding RNA (204 nucleotides) under Hevea brasiliensis (rubber tree). The record is from RNAcentral. Lineage: Eukaryota; Viridiplantae; Streptophyta; Magnoliopsida; Malpighiales; Euphorbiaceae.
AUCAACCCCAUACAAACACCAGUGAAUUUGCUUCCAAAUACUACCAACAGAUCUAACAUUAUUCAGGUAUAGCAGCAACAAUGAAGAGACAGAAAUACAAUUUUCUUCCUGUAAUGAUUUGAUUCAAACAAUAAUCUUCUAUACAACAAAAUCUCAACAACAACAUACCCAAUGAAACAAUUUCUGUAUUGAGGUUCAAAAAAG